AGUUUGGUAUAAGGGUUGCAAUGGACUCGUGGUCUGAAGCACUCCUUUCACCUGAACGUAACUGGACGCCUGAGGAAAUACUGGACAAGUUGAAGAACUAUAUGGAUUUUUUGUCUCUUUUCAAAAAUAGAUUUCUCGAUGGCUAAUAUAAGUGAGCCAAAGUGCAAAAGUUGAAUGGGUACAUGGAAUUUUUAUCUCUACUUAAAAUUUAGGUUUUCGAUGGCCAACAAGUAUUCUCAGAGCCGAUUUGAGGCCUAAGCUGCGGCAAAAAUAUCUCAAAUGGCAGGGAAACGACAUUGUAAGGUAAAGAAAUUCCAUAAAGUUAUGCAAUGUUUAUAAGAACAAUUAAUCACAGGCAAAAUCAACUACAUCGUCAAAAAGAGAUAUUAAUAUAUGCGAAUUUAUUACUAAUGAUCAAGGCUUGUAAAAUGUUGCUUUAAAAUAUAUUA
This is a non-coding RNA of Paramuricea clavata, 449 nucleotides long. Lineage: Eukaryota; Metazoa; Cnidaria; Anthozoa; Malacalcyonacea; Plexauridae. The record is from the annotation of a GenBank genome assembly.